Molecule: long non-coding RNA, 147 nt
Filed under: Ictidomys tridecemlineatus (thirteen-lined ground squirrel)
Lineage: Eukaryota; Metazoa; Chordata; Mammalia; Rodentia; Sciuridae
Description: lncRNA (ENSSTOG00000034489.1)
Source: RNAcentral
UAUAACUAUUUCAACUUAAUGACAUUUUUUUGAAAGUGAAGACCAAGCAUUAAGUAUUAAAUGAACAUGCACCAUGGUUCUAUGGACUCUUCUUUGCCAGGUUACUUCAUGCUUGUUGUUUUCUUGUAUAAGACAAUCUUUCAAUAC